AUACAGAGGGUGCAAGCGUUAAUCGGAAUUACUGGGCGUAAAGCGCGCGUAGGCGGUUUGAUAAGUCGGAUGUGAAAUCCCUGGGCUCAACCUGGGAACUGCAUUCGAAACUGUCUGACUAGAGUAUGGUAGAGGGUGGUGGAAUUCCUAGUGUAGCGGUGAAAUGCGUAGAUAUUAGGAGGAACAUCAGUGGCGAAGGCGACCACCUGGACCAAUACUGACGCUGAGGUGCGAAAGCGUGGGGAGCAAACAGGAUUAGAUACCCCAGUAGUCC
This 274-nucleotide ribosomal RNA is filed under the name uncultured bacterium. RNAcentral's name for it is "partial 16S ribosomal RNA". It matches the Rfam family "Bacterial small subunit ribosomal RNA", at positions 523 to 796 of the family's 1533-position model. The record is from RNAcentral.